AUUGAACGCUGGCGGCAGGCCUAACACAUGCAAGUCGAGCGGAUGAAGGGAGCUUGCUCCUGGAUUCAGCGGCGGACGGGUGAGUAAUGCCUAGGAAUCUGCCUGGUAGUGGGGAAUAACGUCCGGAAACGGGCGCUAAUACCGCAUACGUCCUGAGGGAGAAAGUGGGGGAUCUUCGGACCUCACGCUAUCAGAUGAGCCUAGGUCGGAUUAGCUAGUUGGUGGGGUAAAGGCCUACCAAGGCGACGAUCCGUAACUGGUCUGAGAGGAUGAUCAGUCACACCGGAACUGAGACACGGUCCAGACUCCUACGGGAGGCAGCAGUGGGGAAUAUUGGACAAUGGGCGAAAGCCUGAUCCAGCCAUGCCGCGUGUGUGAAGAAGGUCUUCGGAUUGUAAAGCACUUUAAGUUGGAAGGAAGGGCAGUAAGUUAAUACCUUGCUGUUUUGACGUUACCAACAGAAUAAGCACCGGCUAACUUCGUG
Molecule: ribosomal RNA, 484 nt
Filed under: uncultured bacterium
Lineage: Bacteria
Description: partial 16S ribosomal RNA
Rfam family: Bacterial small subunit ribosomal RNA
Source: RNAcentral